GACGAACGCUGGCGGCGUGCUUAACACAUGCGAGUCGAACGCUGAAGCACCAGCUUGCUGGUGUGGAUGAGUGGCGAACGGGUGAGUAAUACGUGAGUAACCUGCCCUUGACUCUGGGAUAAGCCCGGGAAACUGGGUCUAACACUGGAUGCUACAUGUCACCGCAUGGUGGUGUGUGGAAAGGGUUUACUGGUCUUGGAUGGGCUCACGGCCUAUCAGCUUGUUGGUGAGGUAAUGGCUCACCAAGGCGACGACGGGUAGCCGGCCUGAGAGGGUGACCGGCCACACUGGGACUGAGACACGGCCCAGACUCCUACGGGAGGCAGCAGUGGGGAAUAUUGCACAAUGGGCGAAAGCCUGAUGCAGCGACGCCGCGUGAGGGAUGACGGCCUUCGGGUUGUAAACCUCUUUCAGCAGGGAAGAAGCCACAAGUGACGGUACCUGCAGAAGAAGCGCCGGCUAACUACGUGCCAGCCGCCGCUGUAA
RNAcentral lists this ribosomal RNA (486 nucleotides) under uncultured bacterium. RNAcentral describes it as "partial 16S ribosomal RNA". It matches the Rfam family "Bacterial small subunit ribosomal RNA", at positions 28 to 523 of the family's 1533-position model. The record is from RNAcentral.